Molecule: ribosomal RNA, 466 nt
Filed under: uncultured bacterium
Lineage: Bacteria
Description: partial 16S ribosomal RNA
Rfam family: Bacterial small subunit ribosomal RNA
Source: RNAcentral
GACGAACGCUGGCGGCGCGCCUAACACAUGCAAGUCGAACGAGCGAGAGGGAGCUUGCUUUCUCGAGCGAGUGGCGAACGGGUGAGUAACGCGUGAGGAACCUGCCUCAAAGAGGGGGACAACAGUUGGAAACGACUGCUAAUACCGCAUAAGCCCACGGUGCCGCAUGGCACAGAGGGAAAAGGAGCAAUCCGCUUUGAGAUGGCCUCGCGUCCGAUUAGCUAGUUGGUGAGGUAAUGGCCCACCAAGGCGACGAUCGGUAGCCGGACUGAGAGGUUGAACGGCCACAUUGGGACUGAGACACGGCCCAGACUCCUACGGGAAGCAGCAGUGGGGAAUAUUGCACAAUGGGGGAAACCCUGAUGCAGCGACGCCGCGUGGAGGAAGAAGGUCUUCGGAUUGUAAACUCUUGUUGUUGGGGAAGAUAAUGACGGUACCCAACAAGGAAGUGACGGCUAACUACGUG